GACGAACGCUGGCGGCGUGCUUAACACAUGCAAGUCGAACGGUGAAGCGCUUUCCUUUUUGGUUGGUGUGGAUGAGUGGCGAACGGGUGAGUAACACGUGAGUAACCUGCCCCCUUCUUCUGGAUAACCGCAUGAAAGUGUGGCUAAUACGGGAUAUUCUGCGCCUGCUGCAUGGUGGGUGUGGGAAAGAUUGUGCCUUUGGGUGUGUUCGGUGGGGGAUGGGCUCGCGGCCUAUCAGCUUGUUGGUGGGGUGAUGGCCUACCAAGGCGGUGACGGGUAGCCGGCCUGAGAGGGUGGACGGUCACACUGGGACUGAGACACGGCCCAGACUCCUACGGGAGGCAGCAGUGGGGAAUAGUGCGCAAUGGGCGCAAGCCUGAUGCAGCGACGCCGCGUGAGGGAUGGAGGCCUUCGGGUUGUGAACCUCUUUCGCCAGUGAAGCAGGCCUGCUCCUUGUGGGUGGGUUGACGGUAGCUGGAUAAGAAGCGCCGGCUAACUACGUG
RNAcentral lists this ribosomal RNA (503 nucleotides) under uncultured bacterium. RNAcentral's name for it is "partial 16S ribosomal RNA". It matches the Rfam family "Bacterial small subunit ribosomal RNA", at positions 28 to 507 of the family's 1533-position model. The record is from RNAcentral.